Molecule: long non-coding RNA, 1591 nt
Organism: Globicephala melas (long-finned pilot whale)
Lineage: Eukaryota; Metazoa; Chordata; Mammalia; Artiodactyla; Delphinidae
Source: RefSeq, a predicted model, not a curated record
GAAGGGCCUCCAGCAUCUUUUCCCAAGGCUUUGAUGAAAGGCGGGGAUCCCUCCCCCAGCCAUGCACUCUGCCGCUCACCUCCCGACCUGGUCUUUUGGCUUCAUCUUUGAUUCACGUGGUGUUGAAACAGUACGCAGGCCUCUCACUGUUGUGGCCUCUCCCAUUGCGGAGCACAGGCUCCGGACGCGCAGGCUCCGGAUGCGCAGGCUCAGCGGCCAUGGCUCACGGGCCCAGCCACUCCGCAGCAUGUGGGAUCUUCCCGGACCGGGGCACGAACCUGUGUCCCCUGCAUCGGCAGGCGGACUCUCAACCACUGCACCACCAGGGAAGCCCUACUUUUUUAUACAGUUUGAAUUUUGAACCAUGUGAAUAUGUAACCUACACAAGACAUUAAAUUAAAAAAAUAGUUGUCUUAUAAAUGAACAGCUGUUUUCCAUUGAUGGAUGAAUGGAUAAACAAAAUGUGGUGUAUACAUACAGUGGAAUAUUAUUCAGUCUUAAAAAGGAGUGAUAUUCUGACACAUGCUACAACAUGGAUGAACCUGAAGGACAUUAUGCUAAGUGAAAUAAGUCAGUCACAAAAAGAUAAAUACUGUAUGAGUCAACUUAUAUGAGAUACCUAGAGUAGUCAAAAUCACAGAGACAGAAAGCAGAAUGGUAGCUCUCAGGGGCUGGGGGGAGAGGGGAGUAGGGAGUUGCCAUUUAAUGUGUACAGAGUUUUAGUUUUGCAAGAUCAAAAGUAUUAUAGAGAUUGUGUGCACGACAUGAAUGCGCUCCCUGUGUUGACUAUACACCUAAAAGUAAAUGGUAAAUGUAACGUUGUAUGUAUUUUACAGCCACUUGAUUAGAUUGAUUUCAUCAUCCCCCUCGGAUUGCAGCCAGGUAGUGUGAUUUGCUGGUGGAUUUCAGGGAUCUACUUCUCUGUCUGGCCUUUCCCUUGGCCAGAUUUUCUGAUUAUCUGAUUGCAAAUCCGGACGAUCUGCUUGCUCUCUGCUUUCAUUUUUAAUCUGAAAAGUAGGAACACCAUUUCCUAACCCUGAUACCUUAAGUAGAUUAUUACAUAUAUAUUACAGAUUAUUGUCUAACCUCAUUCUGUGACCUUCCCCCUACCCAGGUUUUGAAGAAAGCUACAGAGUUAGUAUUCCUGCAAUGCUUCAAGUCUCCUAGAUUUAAAUAAGGCUGAGUAUAAAGGACCCUUUUGACGACUGGGCAUGCCUGAUUGUAUGUCUUCUGAACACUAUUUGUGAUGGUCAUUCGCACACCAAGGGGGAAGCAGGAAACAGAGAUCACAGAAUCCUCUGGCCAAACUGUGAAGCUGGCCUUGAAGUGCAGAAGCAGUGUCAACAUCCCGAGCCCCAUCAGUUCUGUGAGGAAAGUGGCAGAGAGAUGGGAAACCAAUGCUCAGAGGACAAGAGCUGAGUCUAAAGUCACAUCAGUGGUCUCCGAAGGCUUUAAUCAAACUUUUUGACAGAUAUAAGAAAACUGAAGUAAAGAACAUACUUUCCCAGGAUCGUCCUCUUAUGAAGGGAGCAAGCUGAAACCAUUCCCAAUGUUUCUAAGAAAAUGUAAGCUCUGCUAUAAAGGAAGAUCC